RNAcentral lists this ribosomal RNA (1185 nucleotides) under Triticum aestivum (bread wheat). Its description in RNAcentral is "partial small subunit ribosomal RNA". Lineage: Eukaryota; Viridiplantae; Streptophyta; Magnoliopsida; Poales; Poaceae. The record is from RNAcentral.
AUGGCGUUAGCCACUUCCUCGCUGAAAAAAGGAUGUCGCGUUAACCAACUUGGUGCGUGUGUAUCGCUCGAUCUUGUUCCACACCGGCCGUCGUGCCUUGCGUUGAUCUUGGCCCGAAUCGACGAACGAGCAAUGGCGGCCCAGAAGGAACAACCGGACUGGCUGAACCUCCCCUCCGAUCUACUCACGAUCAUCGCGCGGAGGUCCCGCGACGCCGUCACCGGGCUCACCGCGUUCCGCUCCGUGUGGCGGACAUGGCGCGCUGCGGCAGGGCCAGCGCCGCGCCUCCUGCUCCUGCUCCCCCUUCCCCGCCACACGCGGCUCGUCUUUCCCUUGGCGCGUGGCUGGUCGAUCGUCUUCGAUGUCCGCGACGCCGCCUGCCACCUCUCGCACCUGGCCACGGGAGCCACGGCCGCCCUGCCCAGGCUCGACGCCUCCCGCGACGCUGGCAGCGACGUGCCAACCUACAUCGACUUCGCGGACUGCUUGCGCUUCGCCGUCCACAUCCCGCCCGGCUCCGGUUCCCCGGCGGGGAUGACGAUCAUGAUGUACCACAUGAUGCACGAGGAGACGAGCAUGCUCUUCUGCCGCCCCGGAGACGCGGCCUGGACCAAGGUGGGGAAGCCCAACCACACAGGCUACGGCUACUUCGACUUGGCCUACCACGACGGCAGGAUGUUCGGCAUGGCCGUCAACGGCCAGAUGGCCGUCUUUGACGCCACCACGCUCGACGCCCUCCAGCUGGUCCAGACCCCGCCGGGCACGCCUAACCUCGCCAACAAGAUGUACGGCUGCUGCUGUCGGAUGGAAGAGUUUAAUUAUGUCCACCUUGUUGCGUUGCCGAGCAAGCUGGUUCUGGUCAGGACCACCGUCAAGUCUUCCCGGCCGGUGGCCUUCAGCAUCUUCCAGUUAGUCUCUGCGCCUAAUGGGCAGCUCGCCUGGCGCAUGGUGGCCGAUGCUGGCAACUACGAGUUGUUCGUGGAUGGAUACCACACCACCUACAGGGAAAACCACGGCGCCAACGGGGACGGAACUUGGAUCUACUAUGUUCAUGAGACGCAAUAUCUUGCUUACACGGCGGCCUACCGCUACAGCGUGCAGUAUAAAAAGUUGGAAUGCGUCUACAAGUCACCCAAGGGUCUCCGUCCCGAGUUCUCAACCAAGUCCACUUGGUUUGUUCCCUAG